Molecule: ribosomal RNA, 253 nt
Filed under: uncultured bacterium
Lineage: Bacteria
Description: partial 16S ribosomal RNA
Rfam family: Bacterial small subunit ribosomal RNA
Source: RNAcentral
UACGUAGGCAGCAAGCGUUGUUCGGAAUUACUGGGCGUAAGGAGUGUGUAGGCGGUGCUCCAAGUCUGGUGUGAAAUCUCCCGGCUUAACUGGGAGGGUGCAUUAGAAACUGCAAGGCUAGAGUCUCGGAGAGGAUCGUGGAAUUCUCGGUGUAGAGGUGAAAUUCGUAGAUAUCGAGAGGAACACCGGCGGCGAAGGCGGCCAACUGGACGAAUACUGACGCUGAGACACGAAAGCGUGGGGAGCAAACAGG